UACGAAGGGGGGCUAGCGUUGCUCGGAAUCACUGGGCGUAAAGCGCACGUAGGCGGAUCUUUAAGUCAGGGGUGAAAUCCUGGAGCCCAACUCCAGAACUGCCUUUGAUACUGGGGAUCUCGAGUCCGGGAGAGGUGAGUGGAACUCCGAGUGUAGAGGUGAAAUUCGUAGAUAUUCGGAAGAACACCAGUGGCGAAGGCGGCUCACUGGACUGGGUAUUGACGCUGAGGUACGAAAGCGUGGGGGAGCAACAGG
RNAcentral lists this ribosomal RNA (255 nucleotides) under uncultured bacterium. Its description in RNAcentral is "partial 16S ribosomal RNA". It matches the Rfam family "Bacterial small subunit ribosomal RNA", at positions 524 to 776 of the family's 1533-position model. The record is from RNAcentral.